UGAAAUCGUUAUCCCUAUACU
RNAcentral lists this non-coding RNA (21 nucleotides) under Caenorhabditis elegans. Lineage: Eukaryota; Metazoa; Nematoda; Chromadorea; Rhabditida; Rhabditidae. The record is from RNAcentral.